CUUCAAAGAAGUUCCCGAAUCAUAAAUUUUUGUAAUUUUUUGUUUGGUUCAUGAAGCCUACGCAAAAUUUGUUGUGGUACAUAUGGCAGAUAAAAUUUGCAUGAAUACAACUCCUAGUUAUAGCAAAGCGAUUGAUCAUCCCAAUCCCAUGCAAUGUAUUAUUCCAAAAAUAAAUUCAUAAUUAGCACAUUUAUCAGCAUGGCUAAACAAAGCAAAACUAUUGCCAAUGGGAAAGGCUGCAUGGGUCGCCAUCAUGCCAUAGAAUUAAUAAACAAUAGCAGACCCACAAUGCCAUGUGACAUAAUCCAGCGUAACUCAGAACAUUGAAAUGCUACAUGGGCAUCGCCCAGAACGCAGUGCGUCAGCAAUGUCAACGAUGCGGUGGUUUCCAUUGUAUUUUCAGUCCACCUAUCUCCAUACAUAGUACAUACGCAGUUGCACUCUUAAAUAUUUGUGAAAUAUUGCCGGAAUGUCCUUUCACUAAAACAUGAUAACAACGCAUAACGCA
Molecule: long non-coding RNA, 508 nt
Organism: Stomoxys calcitrans (stable fly)
Lineage: Eukaryota; Metazoa; Arthropoda; Insecta; Diptera; Muscidae
Exons: 2
Source: RefSeq, a predicted model, not a curated record